RNAcentral lists this ribosomal RNA (2863 nucleotides) under Stenotrophomonas maltophilia. RNAcentral's name for it is "bacterial LSU rRNA". It matches the Rfam family "Bacterial large subunit ribosomal RNA". Lineage: Bacteria; Pseudomonadati; Pseudomonadota; Gammaproteobacteria; Lysobacterales; Lysobacteraceae. The record is from RNAcentral.
AGCGCACACGGUGGAUGCCUUGGCGGUCAGAGGCGAUGAAGGACGUGGCAGCCUGCGAAAAGUAUCGGGGAGCUGGCAACAAGCUUUGAUCCGGUAAUGUCCGAAUGGGGAAACCCACCCGCUUGCGGGUAUCCUGCAGUGAAUACAUAGCUGCUGGAAGCGAACCUGGUGAACUGAAAUAUCUAAGUAACCAGAGGAAAAGAAAUCAACCGAGAUUCCGUAAGUAGCGACGAGCGAACGCGGACUAGCCCUUAAGCUGAUUUGGUUCUAGGAAAACGCUCUGGAAAGAGUGGCCAUAGAAGGUGAUAGCCCUGUAUCUGAAAGGGCCAUUUCAGUGAAGACGAGUAGGGCGGGGCACGUGAAACCCUGUCUGAACAUGGGGGGACCAUCCUCCAAGGCUAAAUACUACUGACCGACCGAUAGUGAACCAGUACCGUGAGGGAAAGGCGAAAAGAACCCCGGAGAGGGGAGUGAAAUAGAACCUGAAACCGUGUGCGUACAAGCAGUAGGAGCUCCGCAAGGAGUGACUGCGUACCUUUUGUAUAAUGGGUCAGCGACUUACUGUUCGUGGCAAGCUUAACCGUAUAGGGGAGGCGAAGGGAAACCGAGUCUGAUAAGGGCGCAUAGUCGCGGGCAGUAGACCCGAAACCGGGUGAUCUAGUCAUGCCCAGGGUGAAGGUGCGGUAACACGCACUGGAGGCCCGAACCCACUCCCGUUGCAAAGGUAGGGGAUGAGGUGUGAUUAGGAGUGAAAAGCUAAUCGAACCCGGAGAUAGCUGGUUCUCCUCGAAAGCUAUUUAGGUAGCGCCUCAUAUGUAUCCUCUCGGGGGUAGAGCACUGUUAUGGCUAGGGGGUCAUCGCGACUUACCAAACCAUUGCAAACUCCGAAUACCGAGACGGACUGUAUGGGAGACACACGGCGGGUGCUAACGUCCGUCGUGAAAAGGGAAACAACCCAGACCCACAGCUAAGGUCCCAAAUUUUGUGCUAAGUGGAAAACCAUGUGGAAAGGCACAGACAGCCAGGAGGUUGGCUUAGAAGCAGCCACCCUUUAAAGAAAGCGUAAUAGCUCACUGGUCGAGUCGGUCUGCGGGGAAGAUUUAACGGGGCUAAGCACAGAACCGAAGCUUGGGGUGCAUACUUUGUAUGCGCGGUAGAGGAGCGUUCCGUAAGCCGUUGAAGGUGGAUUGAGAAGUCUGCUGGAGGUAUCGGAAGUGCGAAUGCUGACAUGAGUAACGAUAAUGCGGGUGAAAAACCCGCACGCCGAAAGCCCAAGGUUUCCUUGCGCAACGUUAAUCGGCGCAGGGUGAGUCGGCCCCUAAGGCGAGGACGAAAGUCGUAGUCGAUGGGAAGCAGGUUAAUAUUCCUGCACCUCGCGUAAGUGCGAUGGAGGGACGGAGAAGGUUAGGUGUACCAGGCGUUGGUUGUCCUGGGGAAAGGCGGUAGGUUUGGAUCUUUGGCAAAUCCGGGAUCCUCUAAGACCGAGCACCGAGACGAGCCUUUAUGGCGAAGUCACUGAUACCACGCUUCCAGGAAAAGCUCCUAAGCUUCAGCUUACGCAGACCGUACCGUAAACCGACACAGGUGGGUAGGAUGAGAAUUCUCAGGCGCUUGAGAGAACUCGGGUGAAGGAACUAGGCAACAUGGCACCGUAACUUCGGGAGAAGGUGCACCCUUUUUGGUGGCUCGUGCGAGCUAUAGCUGAAGAGGGUCGCAGUAACCAGGCCGCUGCGACUGUUUAUCAAAAACACAGCACUCUGCAAACACGAAAGUGGACGUAUAGGGUGUGACGCCUGCCCGGUGCUGGAAGGUUAAUUGAUGGGGUCAGCCGCAAGGCGAAGCUCUUGAUCGAAGCCCCAGUAAACGGCGGCCGUAACUAUAACGGUCCUAAGGUAGCGAAAUUCCUUGUCGGGUAAGUUCCGACCUGCACGAAUGGCGUAACGACAGCGGCGCUGUCUCCACCCGAGACUCAGUGAAAUUGAAAUCGCUGUGAAGAUGCAGCGUUCCCGUGGCAAGACGGAAAGACCCCGUGAACCUUUACUAUAGCUUUACACUGAACGUUGAGUUCGUCUGUGUAGGAUAGGUGGGAGGCUAUGAAACUGUGGCGCUAGCUGCAGCGGAGCCAUCCUUGAAAUACCACCCUGUCGUGCUUGACGUUCUAACCUGGGCCCAUUAUCUGGGUCGGGGACCGUGUAUGGUGGGUAGUUUGACUGGGGCGGUCUCCUCCUAAAGAGUAACGGAGGAGCUCGAAGGUACGCUCAGCGCGGUCGGACAUCGCGCACUGUGUGCAAAGGCAUAAGCGUGCUUGACUGCAAGAUCGACGGAUCAAGCAGGUAGGAAACUAGGACUUAGUGAUCCGGUGGUUCUGUAUGGAAGGGCCAUCGCUCAACGGAUAAAAGGUACUCCGGGGAUAACAGGCUGAUACCGCCCAAGAGUUCAUAUCGACGGCGGUGUUUGGCACCUCGAUGUCGGCUCAUCACAUCCUGGGGCUGUAGUCGGUCCCAAGGGUAUGGCUGUUCGCCAUUUAAAGUGGUACGCGAGCUGGGUUCAGAACGUCGUGAGACAGUUCGGUCCCUAUCUGCCAUGGGCGUUGGAGAUUUGAGAGGGGCUGCUCCUAGUACGAGAGGACCGGAGUGGACGAACCUCUGGUGUUCCGGUUGUCACGCCAGUGGCAUUGCCGGGUAGCUAUGUUCGGAAGCGAUAACCGCUGAAAGCAUCUAAGCGGGAAGCGCGCCUCAAGAUGAGAUCUCCCGGGGCACAAGCCCCCUGAAGGAACCAUGUAGACUACGUGGUUGAUAGGUCAGGUGUGUAAGUACAGCAAUGUAUUGAGCUAACUGAUACUAAUGAUCCGUGCGGCUUGACC